This 464-nucleotide ribosomal RNA is filed under the name uncultured bacterium. RNAcentral describes it as "partial 16S ribosomal RNA". It matches the Rfam family "Bacterial small subunit ribosomal RNA", at positions 28 to 507 of the family's 1533-position model. The record is from RNAcentral.
GACGAACGCUGGCGGCGUGCCUAACACAUGCAAGUCGAGCGAAUGAAGUUCCUUCGGGAAUGGAUUUAGCGGCGGACGGGUGAGUAACACGUGGGCAACCUGCCUCAUAGAGGGGAAUAGCCUCCCGAAAGGGAGAUUAAUACCGCAUAAGAUUGUAGUACCGCAUGAUACAGCAAUUAAAGGAGCAAUCCGCUAUGAGAUGGGCCCGCGGCGCAUUAGCUAGUUGGUGAGGUAAUGGCUCACCAAGGCGACGAUGCGUAGCCGACCUGAGAGGGUGAUCGGCCACAUUGGGACUGAGACACGGCCCAGACUCCUACGGGAGGCAGCAGUGGGGAAUAUUGCACAAUGGGGGAAACCCUGAUGCAGCAACGCCGCGUGAGUGAUGACGGCCUUCGGGUUGUAAAGCUCUGCCUUCAGGGACGAUAAUGACGGUACCUGAGGAGGAAGCCACGGCUAACUACGUG